CCCAUUCAAAUUGCCUUCACUCCUGAGUCUUUGAGUGUCAGGUUUAAGCUGUUGACCGAUGAGGUCCCUUAUGCUUGUGAGCCUGUUAGAUUCUAUACACAUAUGAAUCUUCCUCAUAUUCGAUUAUCUGAUUGUCAGAUUCAAGCCGAUGACAUAUGAGGGUUGGUCCUUGCCAUAUCAAUCAAGUCCCA
Pseudophryne corroboree (corroboree frog) is the source of this 191-nucleotide long non-coding RNA. RefSeq lists it as uncharacterized. The transcript is spliced from 3 exons. NCBI's taxonomy places the organism in Eukaryota, Metazoa, Chordata, Amphibia, Anura, Myobatrachidae. The record is from RefSeq and is a predicted model, not a curated record.